Molecule: ribosomal RNA, 451 nt
Filed under: uncultured cyanobacterium
Lineage: Bacteria; Bacillati; Cyanobacteriota
Description: bacterial SSU rRNA
Rfam family: Bacterial small subunit ribosomal RNA
Source: RNAcentral
GAUGAACGCUGGCGGUAUGCUUAACACAUGCAAGUCGAACGGUCACUUCGGUGAUAGUGGCGGACGGGUGAGUAACGCGUGAGAAUCUGUCUUCAGGUCGGGGACAACAGUUAGAAAUGACUGCUAAUACCGGAUGUGCCGAGAGGUAAAAGAUUUAUUGCCUGAAAGAGAGCUCGCGUCAGAUUAGCUAGUAGGUGGUGUAAGAGACUACCUAGGCGACGAUCUGUAGCUGGCCUGAGAGGACGAUCAGCCACACUGGAACUGAGACACGGUCCAGACUCCUACGGGAGGCAGCAGUGGGGAAUUUUCCGCAAUGGGCGAAAGCCUGACGGAGCAAUACCGCGCGAGGGACGAAGGCUUUUGGGUCGUAAACCUCUUUUUCUCAAGGAAGACACAGGACGGUACUUGAGGAAUAAGCAUCGGCUAACUCUGUGCCAGCAGCCGCGGUAAU